GCCAGGCCGACUGACGUACGUUCGCUGCGCCGCUUCGGCGGCGUCGCCAGCACUGCCCCGGAGCUCGCUUCGGGGUCGCAAUGCCAUGUCCUCUUUCUGCCGGAUCGCCCGCGAUCCGGCAGCUUUUGCAGUGGCGUGACCAGGCGAUUACAGUUGCCGUCACGCGCGGCUUGUUAAAAUUCGGAUAAUCUCAACGCAUCGACAGCCGGUUCAGCGUCUGUCUGCAUUGUUCCUCCAGACUUCGCAUAUGACCCAGCAACGCACUCUCAAGAACACCAUUCGUGCCACCGGCGUCGGCCUGCACAGCGGCGACAAGGUGU
RNAcentral lists this small RNA (320 nucleotides) under Xanthomonas sp. 3058. Its description in RNAcentral is "sRNA Xoo8". It matches the Rfam family "Proteobacterial sRNA Xoo8". Lineage: Bacteria; Pseudomonadati; Pseudomonadota; Gammaproteobacteria; Lysobacterales; Lysobacteraceae. The record is from RNAcentral.